CCUACGGGAGGCAGCAGUAGGGAAUCUUCCACAAUGGGCGAGAGCCUGAUGGAGCAACGCAGCGUGGGUGAAGAAGGUCUUCGGAGCGUAAAACCCUGUUGUUAGAGAAGAAAGUUCGUGCGAGUGACUGUUCACGUUUCGACGGUAUCUAACCAGAAAGCCACGGCUCACUACGUGCCCGCAGCCGCGGUAAUACGUCGGUGGCAAGCGUUAUCCGGUUUUAUUGGGAGUAAAGGGAACGCGGGUGGUCUUUUAAGUGUGUUGUGAAAGCUUUCGGCUUAACCGGUGUAGUGCAUUUGAAACUGGGAGACUUGAGUGCAGAAGAGGAGAGUGGAACUCCAUGUGUAGCGGUGAAAUGCGUAGAUAUAUGGAAGAACUCCAGUGGCGAAAGCGGCUUUCUGGUCUGUAACUGACGUUGAGGUUCGAAAGCGUGGGUAGCAAACAGGAUUAGAUACCCGGGUAGUC
Molecule: ribosomal RNA, 465 nt
Filed under: uncultured bacterium
Lineage: Bacteria
Description: partial 16S ribosomal RNA
Rfam family: Bacterial small subunit ribosomal RNA
Source: RNAcentral